GGGUUGUUGCGGGAUCUCACAGGCUUUAAACCGCGGCGCCGCGGCGCCCGGGUGUGGAUCCCUAGAUGGGAGCCGGGGAUGGGCCGGGUGCCUGGUGGGUGGCAGUCGGGGCUGACGGCGGCGGCACUUUGCCGCCUCAGGCCCUGGACACCUUCACCCCGCCGCCUGCCCAGGCGGGCCGGCCCUGCCCGUCCACCGGCCGCCGAGAGUCCCCGGCCUUGGGUCCCCGGGGCCGCUGACUGGCCUCGGUCACCUCCCGGGGAAGGCUCCCGCGCCUCCAUCUGCCCCCGCAGGAAGGGACCCUCUUCUCGCCCGCGAGGCUUCUCCGGGUGGGAUCGUCCUGGCCCCCAGCCCUAAGGGAUCCGCCCCCUCCGAGCAUCCGCCGCCCCUCGGAGACCACUCCAGCUCGGACGGACCCACUCCAGCCCCCGCUGCACGCGGAAGCGCUCAUCCUCCCCGCCUGCCCCGUUCCCUCCCCCUUCUCCUGUGGGACAACCAGGGACCGCAGCUCCCCGCUCCCCAGGUGUGGGGGCUCCGACACGAACGCCUCUGCUCGCAGGGCGGUGAGCGCAGAUCCCACGGGUCCCUCGGUCGGGGGUCGAGGCUGCUUCCGUUUCCAUCCCGGACCCGACAAUGGGCGGGAAAAAGAAGGCUUUACACGACUACGCGGCGGAGUUCACCGACCUGGUGGUGAAGCACCUGAUUGAGCACAGUGACUCUGGGGACACGUCUGUGGUGGAGACCCUUUACUGCAGGGCCUGCGAGCUGCCCGUGCGCGUGCGGAGGGACCGCAUCCUGGAACACCUGUCCUCGGGCAGGCAGCACGGCCUGCGGACGCCCAUUCUCAUGUAAAUGUCAGUGCCAACGCUGGUGUUUCAGGAGUCAUCCCAGCGGGCUGCGGGCUAUUUUAGGAUUCUCUGCCCUGCAAACGUUUCCAAAGUACGUGGACAGGCCGCCUGAUGACACUACGUUUACGGGAUCUGCUAGUGGCUUGCCUACUUAGGGAGUAAACCCUGUGAAGUCUCGCAGUUUUGUUAAAGUGUGCGUGGCCACCUGAAUGCUGCCUUAUCACAAGCCAGAUACAUACUGCCGCCUCGGAUCUCGCUGCCACCAGCCUUACUGCACACCCGUGCCACCCGCCCUUGCCCCGUCAGCCUCAGCCUCAGCUCAUUCUCUCAGGCAGUCCCAGCAUUGGCACGGUACCUCCUCCCGCUGUGGGCCACACGUCUCUGCUCCCUGUCAACCCUCCUGCCAUCAGCACCACCACCAGCGACUUGUCUGCCCGGGAGGAUGCAACACCAUCUGCCUCCACCGGCCACCUUUCAGUGUUUCCUGCUUUCCAAGUAAAGAUACCAGCAGUGCCCUCAGAGCAGACCAGCCAGAGUUUUUCUGAAGCCUCCCACAGGGUGCUCCCCGGAGGAGGCCCGAGAUGCUCUCGUGACUUUGGAGCCGGGGUGGCUGGCCACCUUGGCCUGGGCAUCUUUGGGGUGGGCUUCGGGAGCCCGGCACUGCUGCAGAGUGUGGUGGAUGAGAACAGCUGCUGCUUGCUGUACGUGGUGGAGGACCAGCUGUGUGAUGUGGAGCAAGCCUUCAGAGCUGAGCAUUUGGGCCAACACCAGAGUGGUUCGGGAACAGGAUGCAGACAUUGUCCUCAACGACCAGCGGCACUUUGAUCCGGUUUUCCAGUUCUUGCACAAGCAAGUUUGUGUCAGCCACGCCCUGGGGAGGAUCCACUGGAUCACCGCCGUCACUGCCUGUUCCCGGCGGCCUCUCCGGCUUCCCUAAAGAGAGCAGGUGGGACUUUCUACAACGCUGCUGUGCACGACGUGGAUGCCGUAUGCAUGUUGCUGGGGGAAGCCACUCCGGACACUGUGUUUUCUCUGGGACAUGUCUUCUGCCCAGAUAUGGCCGCCUUAAAAGAUGCAGAUGCUGUUGUGAUCAGCAUGAAGUUUCCCUGUGAGGCCGUGGUUAGCGUGGACAUCAGCCAGCACUGCACAGACAGCUGCGACCAGGACGUCAGCCAGCACUGCACAGACAGCUGCGACCAGAGACUGGAGAUGGAGUCUUGCCCUGUCACCCAGGCUGGAGUGCAAUGGUGCGAUCUCGGCUCACUGCAACCUCCGUCUCCCAGGUUCAAGCGAUUCUUCUGCCUCAGCCUUCUGAGUAGCUGGGAUUACACGCGUGUGCCACCACGCUCGGCUAAUUUUUGUAUUUUUAGUAGAGAUGGGAUUUCACCAUGUUGGCCAGGCUGGUCUCGAACUACUGACCUCGUGAUCCACCUGCCAUGGCCUCCCAAAGUGCUGGGAUUACAGGCGUGAGCCACCAUGCUCGGCCUAAAAAACAAUUUUCUUGAAGAAUCCGAUUUUGUGCAUAGUAAUGACACAGCACCAUUCCUGAGAAAUAGGAAAUAUAUGUGUGUGGUAUGAAAAGCCCAUAUUCUGUUCUUGUCACCUGAAUCUAGGCUUCCUCUUUGGAUGUGAACGCGGGAAUGAACAGUGGCUGUUUUCCACCCAAAGGGGCGUGGAGACCUUUUGGAAACGGGCUUUCUCCUUUCCAUUUUGCAGCCGGGGGCGGGUGGAAACCUUCCUUCGAAGGGUAGUGCCUUGGGGAGCAGCAGACCUGCUCUGAGUCCAGCUUAGCUUUCCAAAAUUCUGUGUGGAACUUACUGGAGAUGUUUUUAUAUAUUUGAAAAUAAUGGCCUGUAUUUCUCACGCUAUACUUAAAAAAAAUAACUAACCUUUUAAACAAAGAUAUUCAAACUCACCCUUGUGCUGAAAGCACUCACAUUUCUGUGUUCAUUCCUGAAAGGGCGUUUUAGAGUCCCCGUUUCUACGUUCUAUGUGGCACCCUCUUGCCGAGGGAACAUCCAGAAUCCCUCCACUUCCUGUCUAGUUUGAGGCCUCAACACCUUCAUGAUCCAGAGUCCUGCGGCUAUGAGGGGGUGGGCCCACCACCGCCCAGCCCUCCUUGGUGGACGUGGGGACAGGUAGGAGCCUAGGGAAAGGGGUGGGCGGGCUCUGGUGUGACGGCGUGAGCGCUAGCCAGGAAGAUGGGGCCAGGGCUUGGCAUGGCACCUCACCUGUGGGGGAACUCGGCGGAGCUUCCUGGCGGCAUCUCCCCCUCUUGCCUUGGUCCUUUCUAUCUUUGUUUUAGGCCAAUUUCUAAAAAGACUGAGGCCUCCUUCAAGGUUGAACAGAUUUCUAGAGCCUUGUUUUUGCUGUGACAAGUCCCUAGUCCCUGUUCACAACUCUGAAACCAAGAAACCUGAGAACCAAGAGAACUGAAAUGAAGCCCGUUGGUCUCAGCCUGGCUUGAGCCAACAUGAGGCUCUCUGCUGCCUUUUGUUUUCUUAGGUUUUGCUGAGAAACGGGAGUGCGUUCUGUGUCGGUGUUUGUGACGCCCUGAGACCCUGCUUGGCCUAGCUAAAGUCCAGAAGGCCUGGGCCCCACAGGGCUUGGAUGAGGGCUCAUGGGCCUGUACUUCAGGAGGCCUGAGAGGCCCGGUCAGUCCCAUGAGGCUACUCGGCUUGGCCCGCAGGUCCUCCGAGGCACAGGGCAGAGGGACACCCCAGGGACCCAUCAGACUCACGACACAGAGAAACUCAAGUGGGGUGCCAGGGCCGGCCACAGAGGCCACGGGCUUCCUGCCUGUGAGGAGCCGCCCUGUUUGUCUGAGCCCUUUGGAGAUUUAGGUUGAGUCAUGAGAACCGGUCAUUGGAACAUACACUUUAUUAUGUUACAAAAACAAAAAUCCCCACUGAAACACAGCUAAAAAAAUAACACAUUUUCCCAAGAUUACAUUACCAAAAACAGUUGUUAUGUCAUUGGAGGGCGUCCAUUAAUACUGCUCGGAGAAGCACGAUCUUACACGAAAAACACGGAUGGGAUUUCGUUUUCACCUUAAAGCAUUAAAGUGCUUUAACUGGUAA
RNAcentral lists this long non-coding RNA (3928 nucleotides) under Homo sapiens (human). Its description in RNAcentral is "non-protein coding lnc-LRRC47-78:2". The record is from RNAcentral. Lineage: Eukaryota; Metazoa; Chordata; Mammalia; Primates; Hominidae.